GAUAUUGCACAAUGGUGGAAACCCUGAUGCAGCGACGCCGCGCGGAGGAAGACGGUCCCCCGGAUUGUAAAUUCCUGUCUUAUGGGACGAUAAUAACGGUACCAUAGGACGUAGUACCGGCUACGUACGUGCCAGCAGCCACGGUAAUACGUAGGGUGCGAGCGUUGUCCGGAAUUACUGGGUGUAAAGGGAGCGUAGGCGGGGAUGCAAGUCAAGUGUCAAAUCUAUCGGCUCAACCGAUAGCCGCGCUUGAAACUGUGUCUCUUGAGUGAAGUAGAGGCAGGCGGAAUUCCUAGUGUAGCGGUGAAAUGCGUAGAUAUUAGGAGGAACACCAGUGGCGAAGGCGGCCUGCUGGGCUUUUACUGACGCUGAGGCUCGAAAGUGUGGGGAGCAAACA
RNAcentral lists this ribosomal RNA (397 nucleotides) under uncultured bacterium. RNAcentral describes it as "partial 16S ribosomal RNA". It matches the Rfam family "Bacterial small subunit ribosomal RNA", at positions 359 to 774 of the family's 1533-position model. The record is from RNAcentral.